RNAcentral lists this ribosomal RNA (448 nucleotides) under uncultured bacterium. RNAcentral describes it as "partial 16S ribosomal RNA". It matches the Rfam family "Bacterial small subunit ribosomal RNA", at positions 330 to 793 of the family's 1533-position model. The record is from RNAcentral.
CCCAGACUCCUACGGGAGGCAGCAGUGGGGAAUAUUGCACAAUGGGGGGAACCCUGAUGCAGCGACGCCGCGUGGGUGAAGGAGCGUUUCGGCGCGUAAAGCCCUAUCGGCAGGGAAGAAGGAGGACGGUACCUGACUAAGAAGCCCCGGCUAACUACGUGCCAGCAGCCGCGGUAAUACGUAGGGGGCAAGCGUUAUCCGGAUUUACUGGGUGUAAAGGGGGCGCAGACGGCAGCGCAAGCCAGGAGUGAAAGCCCGGGGCCCAACCCCGGGACUGCUCUUGGAACUGCGCGGCUGGAGUGCAGGAGGGGCAGGCGGAAUUCCUGGUGUAGCGGUGAAAUGCGUAGAUAUCAGGAGGAACACCGGUGGCGAAGGCGGCCUGCUGGACUGCGACUGACGUUGAGGCCCGAAAGCGUGGGGAGCAAACAGGAUUAGAUACCCCAGUAAG